RNAcentral lists this ribosomal RNA (465 nucleotides) under uncultured bacterium. Its description in RNAcentral is "partial 16S ribosomal RNA". It matches the Rfam family "Bacterial small subunit ribosomal RNA", at positions 29 to 507 of the family's 1533-position model. The record is from RNAcentral.
AACGAACGCUGGCGGCGUGCUUAACACAUGCAAGUCGAACGGAAAGGCCCUGCUUGCAGGGUACUCGAGUGGCGAACGGGUGAGUAACACGUGGGUGAUCUGCCCUGCACUUCGGGAUAAGCCUGGGAAACUGGGUCUAAUACCGGAUAGGAGCCAUUUUUAGUGUGAUGGUUGGAAAGUUUUUUCGGUGUAGGAUGAGCUCGCGGCCUAUCAGCUUGUUGGUGGGGUAAUGGCCUACCAAGGCGGCGACGGGUAGCCGGCCUGAGAGGGUGGACGGCCACAUUGGGACUGAGAUACGGCCCAGACUCCUACGGGAGGCAGCAGUGGGGAAUAUUGCACAAUGGGCGCAAGCCUGAUGCAGCGACGCCGCGUGGGGGAUGACGGCCUUCGGGUUGUAAACUCCUUUCGCUAGGGACGAAGCUUUUUGUGACGGUACCUAGAGAAGAAGCACCGGCUAACUACGUG